AAUAGAUACCCUGGUAGUCCACGCCGUAAACGGUGGGCGCUAGGUGUGGGGCACUUUCCACGUGCUCUGUGCCGCAGCUAACGCAUUAAGCGCCCCGCCUGGGGAGUACGGCCGCAAGGCUAAAACUCAAAGGAAUUGACGGGGGCCCGCACAAGCGGCGGAGCAUGCGGCUUAAUUCGAAGCAACGCGAAGAACCUUACCAAGGCUUGACAUAUAGGGAAAUCUCAUAGAGAUAUGAGGUCCGCAAGGGCCCUAUACAGGUGGUGCAUGGUUGUCGUCAGCUCGUGUCGUGAGAUGUUGGGUUAAGUCCCGCAACGAGCGCAACCCUCGUUCUAUGUUGCCAGCACGUAAUGGUGGGGACUCAUAGGAGACUGCCGGGGUCAACUCGGAGGAAGGUGGGGAUGACGUCAAAUCAUCAUGCCCCUUAUGUCUUGGGCUGCACGCAUGCUACAAUGGAUGGUACAGAGGGCUGCGAUACCGUAAGGUGGAGCGAAUCCCACAAAGCCAUUCUCAGUUC
This 517-nucleotide ribosomal RNA is filed under the name uncultured bacterium. RNAcentral's name for it is "bacterial SSU rRNA". It matches the Rfam family "Bacterial small subunit ribosomal RNA", at positions 777 to 1294 of the family's 1533-position model. The record is from RNAcentral.